GAUCUCGACAAGUUCCUCUUCUCCACCAUCUGACUCUAGAAGUCUAAGGUUGAGGUUAGAGACCUAACUUCAGACUUUCACCUUGAAGUUUCUGAGUCCUUGAAGAUAGGACUCAAAGAAGAACUCCAGCUUGAUCAUCCGAAACUCCUCUGAGGAACAGAAUGCCUUGACCAUGAUGGCCUUCUUAGCUUCCUACCUCUACUCCCAU
This 208-nucleotide long non-coding RNA is filed under the name Elaeis guineensis (African oil palm). RNAcentral's name for it is "long non-coding RNA (EGUI_LNC058951)". The record is from RNAcentral. Lineage: Eukaryota; Viridiplantae; Streptophyta; Magnoliopsida; Arecales; Arecaceae.